AUAAUUUAUGUGACUGUUUACACUGUGAAACAGCAGUAGCAGUGCAUAAUUUGCAAGCCAUCUAUAGAUAGAAAUGCCUUCGUAUGAAUUAGUGGUCAAAUAAGUAGGAUUUGCUCAAAUCAGAUCAUGAAGAAUUAACAAAGAAAAACAAAGAGGCCAAAUGAAUCCAUUAAACUCCCCGUUGCAAGCAGUUCCCUCUACUCUAGUAUUUAUGAUUUCAGUGCUGCGUUGUUGGUAACCUAUCACAUUAAAAGCCAUAAUACUUUUUGUGAAAUCCAUGGUCUUAUUGCUGGGAAACUAAUCUGCACUACCAGGCACAUAGAUGUGUGGACUUAUUUGACAACAUUUCUCUUGGCACAAGAAGGACUUUGCAUUUUUGCAGGGGGGAUGGGGAAGAGUAGGCAAUGCUGGGAGUGCAACUUAAUUUCAACACUGUUUCUUUUCCUGCAGGGUUGAUAAAAAUCGUUAGUUAUGAUAUGUUAAUGCAACAUGAUUGCAUUAUAGCAUCCUGUACUGCUCUAUCUAUCUUAUUUAUUAAGCCACACCAAAUUAGAUAAUGCAAAAACAUUUCAGCCCAGUGGAAAUCUUAUCAUGUUACCUAAUGCUGUGAGCUACACUGGAAUCUAUGCCUGCUGAAGCACCACACACUCGAUGUAAAGAGGCUUGGCUGUAUUUGGUCCUGCUUACAUGCUUGCAGAACUCUUCAUUGCCCCUGUUCUGCUGCUGCCCUGGGUGUCAGGGCACAGAGGCUACCCACGUAACCUCAGCAGCCACCUUGCCCUCUCCUUCCUCCUGCCAGGAGGGUCUCCUCGCUUGUUAGCUCUGCCCCGGGAGGCUGCUGGCUUCCUUGUUAGCCUUCCUGGGCUCACAGUCGGCGUUGCCUGUCGAUGCCAGGCGGCCUCGCUUGCAGCCAUGGGUUUGGCCCCGCAGCAAUGGGGGGAAACAAGGGUGAAGGGCUGCGAGGUGAGCUGUCUGGGAGCAGGAGGAGAGAGAAGGGCUUCUGGAUUUGCCCAUCCCAAAUAGCUUAUGGAAGGUCACUGCAAAACUCAUUGACAUAAUGCUGAGCAGUUCCCUGAGGAAAGAUGUGGGAGAUGCAGUGACAAUGGUGGGUCUUUGACAUGCAGCUGAAAAGGUCACGUUAUUAAGCUGCUGAGAACAGCGGAUACAAAUCUCCACCACCCUUCAAAGCUUACUUGUGAGAAUAUUUAAAAAAACUAAAUCAACGCUGUAUUUUUUCCUGCAUGCAGGAAGCAUCAGAUCUUCUCAUAGCACAUCCCACAAAAACUGUUUCCCUCCCAUGAGAGUACACAGGGCCCUCAGACAGCCAUAAAAGUCAAGUUCCCUUGUCACUGAGGGGCACAGAACCCACCAGAACCCUCUGGAAUCACCAACAACCAUCUGGAACUGCCCGCACCCAGCUGGAACCUUCUGGAACUUCCUGGAACCGGACAGAACUGGGCGGAACUGGACGGAACCCAUCCUCAGGGAGCCCUGCAGCCGCCGCCCGGACACCUGCACGUGGCGCAGGCCCGAGGCAAGCUGCUGGGGGCAGCACAGAGCGAGGACACUGCUUCUGCCCACCCUGUCCCCACAGCUGACAAGAUGUCGCCUUCCUCUCCCCAAUGGAGCCACCCAGCAACAGCUUUUCUUCCACGUCCACAUAUUCCUUCCCAUGGCUCCCAAAGAAAAGGCUGUUUCCCUUGAGGGCAGCACAUCAGUGUAUCACCUUGCUGAGAGCACCAUUAAAGGCAGAUGUUCUCCAAGGCCAUCCACAGUUGCUGUUCACGGGUGUGAGACAGAUGCUGCUCAGCCCCGCCGUCUACAAACCAGCCUGCAGAAGAUGGAUUUCUGAGGUGAACUGUCCUGCACUGAUAAGCAUCUCUGAUAAAAAUCUGAUACUCGCUGUGUGAUCCGGGAGAAGAGACGCAAGGAUCCAUCAGAACAUGUCCCUCCCUGACCACCACAGGGCUGCUUCCCAGAAGAUGGUGCUCUUUCCCCGAGACUGGUGAGGGAGACCUUGGUGGAAGCACAGAGAAAAGUCAGACAAGAUAAAAGACGGUUGGGCAAGGUCAGUGAAUUUGAAGAAGGAACCAGGGCAAUGCCAGGAGUUUGCAGUGCUCAUCUGCUGGGGACUGGUGGAAGAGAUUUUGAAUGUAGGUGAAGUCACCUCACAUAUGAAAUGAACAAUACAACACUGCCAAGAUUUACUGCACAGAGCUCAACUGCUGGGUGGAGGAUAGCUGCAGUGACAGGACUAAUGCAAAUCACAUCAGGGCAUUCUGUGGACCAGUAUUUGAUGCCACAGCCACCAUGCUGCAGCUCUGCUGGAUGAUGCUGUACAUCUCCGUCCCUGCCAUCCGAUUCCAAGUGCUCACUGCGGUGUUCAACAGAAGGGCUUGUUAGAAAAAA
Molecule: long non-coding RNA, 2409 nt
Organism: Cygnus olor (mute swan)
Lineage: Eukaryota; Metazoa; Chordata; Aves; Anseriformes; Anatidae
Exons: 7
Source: RefSeq, a predicted model, not a curated record